GUUCAUGUCAUCAUUUGUUGCGACUUACCUCAUUCUUAAAUGUGAUCUUGUACUUUAUGCCUCCAGGAAGAAAUCUUCUCUAAUGGGUAGAGAAUCAAAGGCAAAUGAGGUGCAUGUAUCUACAGCAGAGAACUGCAUUGUUCCAAAACAGUUAAUGUGGAAGCAAAACAACAGAACUGAAAGAGAAGACCCACCACCGAAAUGGCAUUGAAGCUGAGUGCCAGGGUCAAGAGUCUGCCAGAAAGAAAAAAUCAGAGGAGAAAAAGAAAUGGUUUGUUUUUCAAAGAAGAAUCAGAACUUGGAUCUUAGAGCAGAUUAAACCUCCAAUACUGGUGAAGGGAAGGGGUCUCCUCAUUGCUGGGGGACCUUGUUCCUUGUUUGUGAGCCUUGUUUCCCAGCCUCAGGGCACGGCCUCUUGAUGUGACCUGCUGAAGAGACAGGCCAGAGGGCAGAGAAAUCACACACCAGUCAGUCCCAGAACGUGAAGUGAAAUGAAGCCUGCCUUUUUACAGGUCACUGAGCCCAAGGCAAUUGCCACAAGGAAAAUAAGAUUCGCAUCAGGCACAAUUAAGUAUUUUUAAUUAAAAAAAAAAACCAAAAACAGGAAAAGAAAAAAGAGGGUAGGAUCCAGAGUUCUAAGUAGCAGCAAGU
This is a long non-coding RNA of Diceros bicornis minor, 651 nucleotides long. RefSeq lists it as uncharacterized. The record is from RefSeq and is a predicted model, not a curated record. The transcript is spliced from 3 exons. NCBI's taxonomy places the organism in Eukaryota, Metazoa, Chordata, Mammalia, Perissodactyla, Rhinocerotidae.